RNAcentral lists this ribosomal RNA (497 nucleotides) under uncultured bacterium. RNAcentral describes it as "partial 16S ribosomal RNA". It matches the Rfam family "Bacterial small subunit ribosomal RNA", at positions 28 to 507 of the family's 1533-position model. The record is from RNAcentral.
GACGAACGCUGGCGGCGUGCCUAAUACAUGCAAGUUGAGCGCUGAAGGUUGGUACUUGUACCAACUGGAUGAGCAGCGAACGGGUGAGUAACGCGUGGGGAAUCUGCCUUUGAGCGGGGGACAACAUUUGGAAACGAAUGCUAAUACCGCAUAAAAACUUUAAACACAAGUUUUAAGUUUGAAAGAUGCAAUUGCAUCACUCAAAGAUGAUCCCGCGUUGUAUUAGCUAGUUGGUGAGGUAAAGGCUCACCAAGGCGAUGAUACAUAGCCGACCUGAGAGGGUGAUCGGCCACAUUGGGACUGAGACACGGCCCAAACUCCUACGGGAGGCAGCAGUAGGGAAUCUUCGGCAAUGGACGAAAGUCUGACCGAGCAACGCCGCGUGAGUGGAGAAGGUUUUCGGAUCGUAAAACUCUGUUGGUAGAGAAGAGCGUUGGUGAGAGUGGAAAGCUCAUCAAGUGACGGUAACUACCCAGAAAGGGACGGCUAACUACGUG